Molecule: ribosomal RNA, 704 nt
Filed under: Escherichia coli
Lineage: Bacteria; Pseudomonadati; Pseudomonadota; Gammaproteobacteria; Enterobacterales; Enterobacteriaceae
Description: partial 23S ribosomal RNA
Rfam family: Bacterial large subunit ribosomal RNA
Source: RNAcentral
CCUUUACUAUAGCUUGACACUGAACAUUGAGCCUUGAUGUGUAGGAUAGGUGGGAGGCUUUGAAGUGUGGACGCCAGUCUGCAUGGAGCCGACCUUGAAAUACCACCCUUUAAUGUUUGAUGUUCUAACGUUGACCCGUGAUCCGGGUUGCGGACAGUGUCUGGUGGGUAGUUUGACUGGGGCGGUCUCCUCCUAAAGAGUAACGGAGGAGCACGAAGGUUGGCUAAUCCUGGUCGGACAUCAGGAGGUUAGUGCAAUGGCAUAAGCCAGCUUGACUGCGAGCGUGACGGCGCGAGCAGGUGCGAAAGCAGGUCAUAGUGAUCCGGUGGUUCUGAAUGGAAGGGCCAUCGCUCAACGGAUAAAAGGUACUCCGGGGAUAACAGGCUGAUACCGCCCAAGAGUUCAUAUCGACGGCGGUGUUUGGCACCUCGAUGUCGGCUCAUCACAUCCUGGGGCUGAAGUAGGUCCCAAGGGUAUGGCUGUUCGCCAUUUAAAGUGGUACGCGAGCUGGGUUUAGAACGUCGUGAGACAGUUCGGUCCCUAUCUGCCGUGGGCGCUGGAGAACUGAGGGGGGCUGCUCCUAGUACGAGAGGACCGGAGUGGACGCAUCACUGGUGUUCGGGUUGUCAUGCCAAUGGCACUGCCCGGUAGCUAAAUGCGGAAGAGAUAAGUGCUGAAAGCAUCUAAGCACGAAACUUGCCCCG